Molecule: ribosomal RNA, 63 nt
Filed under: Candidatus Erwinia dacicola
Lineage: Bacteria; Pseudomonadati; Pseudomonadota; Gammaproteobacteria; Enterobacterales; Erwiniaceae
Description: partial 23S ribosomal RNA
Source: RNAcentral
GCGUUGAGCUAACCGGUACUAAUGACCCGUGAGGCUUAAUCUUACAACGCCAGAAGCGUUCUG